AAUAGUUUUAUGCCGCAUCAGCAUUAUCAUCCUAAAUUUCAGCAUUUUAAUUUAGAUUUGAUUUUUUUCAAAAUGAAAAUGCUGAAAUUUAGGAUGAUAAUACUGAUGCGGCAUAAAACUAUU
Gossypium arboreum is the source of this 123-nucleotide non-coding RNA. The record is from Rfam. Lineage: Eukaryota; Viridiplantae; Streptophyta; Magnoliopsida; Malvales; Malvaceae.